CCAAGAAUCAGAAGCUUAACUGACUGAGCCACCCAGGGGCUCUGUAGUUUGUACUUUCUAAUAGCAGAAACUAUGGCUAAGAGAGCAGAAUACCAGAGGUAUCAUGACUCUGACAUCUUGGGAAGGAGACAGCAGUGGUGGAUUCAGCCAUAAGGCAGGCAAGAAGGCAUCAUGAUGGCUCAGCCUCCAUCACAGAGGUGGGAUUACCAAAUGUUUGCUUCUUAGUAAUGACAGUCCUGAUAAGAAAAUUGGCAAUCUUCAGCUUAUUCAAAAAUCCCAAGUUUUUAUUAAGCCCAGUCAACAAAUCUGCAGUUUGAAUUCUAUUUUUGCAUCUCCCUGACAAAUCCCUAAUUAAAAAUACAAUAAUUUUCAGUAUCACACUAAGGCAGUGGAUUACAGUUUAUGCUUUCUUAUUUCUAAAUGUUAAUAUGAAAUUCCAGCAUCUAGAGAGUCCUCCCCACCUUUUAUAAAUGUUGAUAAAGAAUUUCAGAAAAAC
This 496-nucleotide long non-coding RNA is filed under the name Felis catus (domestic cat). RNAcentral describes it as "lncRNA (ENSFCAG00000049339.1)". Lineage: Eukaryota; Metazoa; Chordata; Mammalia; Carnivora; Felidae. The record is from RNAcentral.